UACAGAGACGUCGAGCGUUGUUCGGAUUCAUUGGGCGUAAAGGGUGCGUAGGCGGUGAGGUAAGUCGGAUGUGAAAUCCCAAGGCUUAACCUUGGAAGUGCAUCCGAAACUACCUCGCUUGAGGACUGGAAGGGAGACUGGAAUUCUCGGAGUAGCGGUGAAAUGCGUAGAUAUCGAGAGGAACACCUGUGGCGAAGGCGGGUCUCUGGACAGUUCCUGACGCUGAGGCACGAAAGCCAGGGGAGCAAACGGG
Molecule: ribosomal RNA, 253 nt
Filed under: uncultured bacterium
Lineage: Bacteria
Description: partial 16S ribosomal RNA
Rfam family: Bacterial small subunit ribosomal RNA
Source: RNAcentral